UACGUAGGGUGCGAGCGUUAAUCGGAAUUACUGGGCGUAAAGUGUGCGCAGGCGGCUCCGCAAGUCGAGUGUGAAAUCCCCGAGCUUAACUUGGGAAUUGCGCUCGAAACUACGGAGCUGGAGUGUGGCAGAGGAAGGUGGAAUUCCACGUGUAGCGGUGAAAUGCGUAGAUAUCUGGAGGAAUACCGGUGGCGAAGGCGGCAUCCUGGACCGGCAUUGACGCUGAUGAGCGAAAGCUAGGGGAGCAAACGGG
This 253-nucleotide ribosomal RNA is filed under the name uncultured bacterium. Its description in RNAcentral is "partial 16S ribosomal RNA". It matches the Rfam family "Bacterial small subunit ribosomal RNA", at positions 524 to 776 of the family's 1533-position model. The record is from RNAcentral.